This 605-nucleotide ribosomal RNA is filed under the name Hudsonimyia sp. BIM_TS_00033. RNAcentral describes it as "partial 28S ribosomal RNA". It matches the Rfam family "Eukaryotic large subunit ribosomal RNA", at positions 428 to 910 of the family's 3401-position model. The record is from RNAcentral. Lineage: Eukaryota; Metazoa; Arthropoda; Insecta; Diptera; Chironomidae.
UAUCUAAACGGAGAAAUUCAAUACUGUUCGCAAGAACGGUGUGCACUUUUCUCUUAGUAAGACGUUGUGAUCCAUUAGGAAUCGAUUGUCCAUCUAAUGUUGGACAAUCAAUAGGUUGCCAAUAGGCCGGCAUUGAAGUUCUCGAUGGCAAACAGCGCGAUCUUUUGGUUGUGCAUAUUGCCUUGGGAGCGUGCCGUGUUCUGAUGCAACUGCCUGAUGGGUUUUAAAGGUCAUGUCAUUGAUGCUUGCAUCACCCGAUGAUUCUAUUGGGCAUACGACAUGUAUCCGAUCAACAACGGUCUCAUUUGGGAUACCUUUGGGACCCGUCUUGAAACACGGACCAAGGAGUCUAUCUAGUAUGCGAGUAAAUGGGAUUUUUAGAAACCUAUUUGCGUAAAAAACUUGACUGUUAUGGGAUUACGUGCUCGCGCACCUCCAUCCCGGGGUAUUUUCAUCACAUAUGCGGGCAACUGUAUAUAGAAAAUAUACCAUGAGCAUACUGGACAUGACCCGAAAGAUGGUGAACUAUGCCUGAUCAGGUUGAAGUCAGGGGAAACCCUGAUGGAGGACCGAAGCAAUUCUGACGUGCAAAUCGAUUGUCAGAA